RNAcentral lists this long non-coding RNA (706 nucleotides) under Cercocebus atys (sooty mangabey). RNAcentral's name for it is "lncRNA (ENSCATG00000045414.1)". The record is from RNAcentral. Lineage: Eukaryota; Metazoa; Chordata; Mammalia; Primates; Cercopithecidae.
ACAUUGUACUGAACAUUGAAAAAACAUUACCUCACUUCUUCCUCACGUGGACUCUAUGUGCCUUUGAGACAGUCACUGGGAUUCUCCUUCUUUUAUGGAAAAAGAAACCAAGCUUUCAUCAGGGUAUGUGAUUGACUUACAUGUCAUGCAUCUGCCAAGUUCUCAGGCUGGGACAGAGUUAUUGAUGCCAGAGCUCACGUCCUGAGGCUCCAUGCCUGUGGGAAGCAAGAGGAGGGAUGCCUGGGAAGGAAGGCUAGGCCCGGGCAGAACUGAGGCAUUUUGACUUCAUUUGUAUUAUUAGAUAAUGAAGAGAAGAGUCUGGGAUCACUGCGCAGGCUGCACUGAGAAGGAAAGAGACUGGAAGCAGGAGCCCGCUGGAAAUCACCAAAGUUGUUGGUGUGGGUCAACAGGGUGGUUUCAAUGGGAUCAGAAAUGUCUGGGAUUUCAUGACUUCUGGAUGGUCAAGAAGAUUCACAAAUAUUUUUGCAAGUGACAGCUUUGAAGCCCUGAGACAGGCGGAGGUUUCAGCAGGCCCCACACAACCCUGGCCUGGAGGAAACAGCCUGGCAAGCUUAAGCCUAAGCGGGCGCCAGCAGAGCCACCCAGGUGUCGCUGCCGAAGGGAGCCCAGGAAAGGAUGGGAGCAGAGAGAAGGAAGCCCUGAGCCAGUCUCAGAAAGUGCUCAGGGAAAAUCUUCUGGAGAUGGC